Molecule: ribosomal RNA, 234 nt
Filed under: Vibrio parahaemolyticus
Lineage: Bacteria; Pseudomonadati; Pseudomonadota; Gammaproteobacteria; Vibrionales; Vibrionaceae
Also listed under: 1 other name
Description: partial 16S ribosomal RNA
Rfam family: Bacterial small subunit ribosomal RNA
Source: RNAcentral
AAAUUGAAGAGUUUGAUCAUGGCUCAGAUUGAACGCUGGCGGCAGGCCUAACACAUGCAAGUCGAGCGGAAACGAGUUAUCUGAACCUUCGGGGAACGAUAACGGCGUCGAGCGGCGGACGGGUGAGUAAUGCCUAGGAAAUUGCCCUGAUGUGGGGGAUAACCAUUGGAAACGAUGGCUAAUACCGCAUGAUGCCUACGGGCCAAAGAGGGGGACCUUCGGGCCUCUCGCGUC